RNAcentral lists this ribosomal RNA (497 nucleotides) under uncultured bacterium. RNAcentral describes it as "partial 16S ribosomal RNA". It matches the Rfam family "Bacterial small subunit ribosomal RNA", at positions 28 to 507 of the family's 1533-position model. The record is from RNAcentral.
GAUGAACGCUGGCGGCGUGCCUAAUACAUGCAAGUCGAGCGAACAGACGAGGAGCUUGCUCCUCUGACGUUAGCGGCGGACGGGUGAGUAACACGUGGAUAACCUACCUAUAAGACUGGGAUAACUUCGGGAAACCGGAGCUAAUACCGGAUAAUAUAUUGAACCGCAUGGUUCAAUAGUGAAAGACGGUUUUGCUGUCACUUAUAGAUGGAUCCGCGCCGCAUUAGCUAGUUGGUAAGGUAACGGCUUACCAAGGCAACGAUGCGUAGCCGACCUGAGAGGAUGAUCGGCCACACUGGAACUGAGACACGGUCCAGACUCCUACGGGAGGCAGCAGUAGGGAAUCUUCCGCAAUGGGCGAAAGCCUGACGGAGCAACGCCGCGUGAGUGAUGAAGGUCUUCGGAUCGUAAAACUCUGUUAUUAGGGAAGAACAAAUGUGUAAGUAACUAUACACGUCUUGACGGUACCUAAUCAGAAAGCCACGGCUAACUACGUG